Non-coding RNA from Pelodiscus sinensis (Chinese soft-shelled turtle), 509 nucleotides. The record is from RefSeq and is a predicted model, not a curated record. NCBI's taxonomy places the organism in Eukaryota, Metazoa, Chordata, Testudines, Trionychidae.
GUUUGCAUUGCAGAAACUGUGUAAAUUUCAAUCUCUUUUGGUCCAACAGAACCACUCUCCUGUUGUUUGUUGUCUUCAACCAUUUGAAUGUUGUUGUAGUUAACAGGAAACUGUCCAGUCCCACCUGAUACAACAGCAAACUCUUUAUCAAUGUGCAUAUUGUCAGCAUCAUCCUCAUUUCCUUCAUUCAUCAUUGGUAUUAAGCCAUCAAACCUAUGAGCUGAAGUAUCUUAUUCUUCCACAAAGCCACAAUGUAGCAUAGUUCUGCCAACUUUCCCAACUGGAUGGAUCAGACAUCAUUCUCAGCAAUGGUGUCCAGUCCAUGAGAGUUAUCAACCCUAAGACCUUGUCUAUAUGACCAUGGCCCGUCAACCUAAGUUACGCAACUUCAGCUACACAAAUAAUGUAGCUGAAGCUUACGUACUUAGAUCCGCUUAACGCAGUAUCUUCAUAGCAGUGAGUUGACAGCUGAAGCUCUCCCUUCAUUCCGCUUGCACUUCUCAUUUUGC